RNAcentral lists this ribosomal RNA (497 nucleotides) under uncultured bacterium. Its description in RNAcentral is "partial 16S ribosomal RNA". It matches the Rfam family "Bacterial small subunit ribosomal RNA", at positions 28 to 507 of the family's 1533-position model. The record is from RNAcentral.
GAUGAACGCUGGCGGCGUGCCUAAUACAUGCCAGUCGAGCGAACGGACGAGAAGCUUGCUUCUCUGAUGUUAGCGGCGGACGGGCGAGUAACACGUGGAUAACCUACCUAUAAGACUGGGAUAACUUCGGGAAACCGGAGCUAAUACCGGAUGAUAUUUUGAACCGCAUGGUUCAAAAGUGAAAGACGGUCUUGCUGUCACUUAUAGAUGGAUCCGCGCUGCAUUAGCUAGUUGGUAAGGUAACGGCUUACCAAGGCAACGAUGCAUAGCCGACCUGAGAGGGUGAUCGGCCACACUGGAACUGAGACACGGUCCAGACUCCUACGGGAGGCAGCAGUAGGGAAUCUUCCGCAAUGGGCGAAAGCCUGACGGAGCAACGCCGCGUGAGUGAUGAAGGUCUUCGGAUCGUAAAACUCUGUUAUUAGGGAAGAACAUAUGUGUAAGUAACUGUGCACAUCUUGACGGUACCUAAUCAGAAAGCCACGGCUAACUACGUG